RNAcentral lists this unclassified non-coding RNA (219 nucleotides) under Elasticomyces sp. RNAcentral describes it as "partial contains small subunit ribosomal RNA, internal transcribed spacer 1, and 5.8S ribosomal RNA". The stretch from base 1 to 46 matches the Rfam family "Eukaryotic small subunit ribosomal RNA", at positions 1786 to 1831 of the family's 1831-position model. Lineage: Eukaryota; Fungi; Ascomycota; Dothideomycetes; Mycosphaerellales; Teratosphaeriaceae. The record is from RNAcentral.
AAGUCGUAACAAGGUCUCCGUAGGUGAACCUGCGGAGGGAUCAUUACCGAGUGAGGGCCUCCGGGCCCGACCUCCAACCCCAUGUUAACCGACCCUGUUGCCUCGGGGGCGACCCGGACUCGUGCCGGGGCCCCCGAUGGACCUUCAAACACUGCAUCUUUGCGUCCGAGUCAAUAUUUGAAUAAAUCAAAACUUUCAACAACGGAUCUCUUGGUUCUG